GACGAACGCUGGCGGCGUGCCUAAUACAUGCAAGUCGAACGAGAGCGACCGGUGCUUGCACUGGUCAAUCUAGUGGCGAACGGGUGAGUAACACGUGGGUAACCUGCCCAUCAGAGGGGGAUAACAUUCGGAAACGGAUGCUAAAACCGCAUAGGUCUUCGAACCGCAUGGUUUGAAGAGGAAAAGAGGCGCAAGCUUCUGCUGAUGGAUGGACCCGCGGUGCAUUAGCUAGUUGGUGAGGUAACGGCUCACCAAGGCCGUGAUGCAUAGCCGACCUGAGAGGGUGAUCGGCCACAUUGGGACUGAGACACGGCCCAAACUCCUACUGGAGGCAGCAGUAGGGAAUCUUCCGCAAUGGACGCAAGUCUGACGGAGCAACGCCGCGUGAGUGAAGAAGGUUUUCGGAUCGUAAAACUCUGUUGUUAGAGGAGAAUAAGUGCUAGAGUAACUGUUAGCGCCUUGACGGUAUCUAACCAGAAAGCCACGGCUAACUACGUG
Molecule: ribosomal RNA, 498 nt
Filed under: uncultured bacterium
Lineage: Bacteria
Description: partial 16S ribosomal RNA
Rfam family: Bacterial small subunit ribosomal RNA
Source: RNAcentral